Molecule: ribosomal RNA, 279 nt
Filed under: uncultured bacterium
Lineage: Bacteria
Description: partial 16S ribosomal RNA
Rfam family: Bacterial small subunit ribosomal RNA
Source: RNAcentral
UGCCAGCCGCCGCGGUAAUACGGAGGAUCCAAGCGUUAUCCGGAUUCAUUGGGUUUAAAGGGUCCGUAGGCGGAUUUUUAAGUCAGUGGUGAAAGCCGACAGCUCAACUGUCGAACUGCCAUUGAUACUGGAAAUCUUGAGUACAAAUGAAGUAGGCGGAAUGAGUCAUGUAGCGGUGAAAUGCAUAGAUAUGACUCAGAACACCGAUUGCGAAGGCAGCUUACUAAGUCAUCAUUGACGCUGAGGGACGAAAGCGUGGGGAGCGAACAGGAUUAGAUA